AAUCAAUGUACUAAAAUUUAUAUAUUUUUGGGCCUAUCACUUUUGUCUAUUUACUUUCUUUUAGCCCAUUUAUCCUUAUUAAAUUGGGUCACUUUUAAUAUAGCCAUUUAUUAUAAUUUCUAUUGAAUUCCUACGGCCAACAUAAAUCCCUUCUUCUAAACCCACGUUUUUUUCCCAUCAAUAUCUCCACCCACAAAAUUCUCUCCAACAAACAAAUCUAAUCUCUACAUUAUAUAUCUCUCCCCACAACUGCAUCUUUUAUCAGCCGUUUCAAAAUCUCCAGUGCAGUUUUCGUCCCUUCCAACAAGUGAAAAGGAGGAAUCGAGCGGACUGUGAAUCCAAAUUCUCCUUGCAAUCCCAAUUUAUUCUCUUCAUUCCAAAGGGUGAACUUGUGCACGUUGUUGCGGUUGGAACAGGAAGUGUUUGGGGAGUUAAGCUGUUGAGAUUGAGCGUUGAUGGGCGUGGAGGAUGUUGAGCAGAGUUCAUGGAUUGUUUAGUCAUGAUUAAUAAUUGUUGGAUUUGUCGUGUCUUCAUACUCGGCAUUUUCCGUGUCUUGAACGCUUCCGCCAAGAGUCAUUUUCUUUAGAAUUGGUUAUUCAUGCAGAGUCGAACUCGCUAAAAAAAAUAGUUUUCUGUCCAUUCGUUAUUUCCUUAGAGUUGACAUUAUUAUUAGGAUAAUAUUAUGACGUUUUCAAAUUUAAUUCAGUUAUUAAAUUUUUGGUCAAAUGUGUAUGUUUUUCCCCUUUCUUCCCCACUUCUUUAAUCCUCCCCUAGUCGCGAUCAACCGUAUUUUCUAUCCUUAGAAAUGCGGGCGUGACACCUCCGCCACGACGUCCACCUUCCAUCAUCCCUCAGCCUCACCCACCAUC
Long non-coding RNA from Salvia splendens (bonfire salvia), 869 nucleotides. RefSeq lists it as uncharacterized. The record is from RefSeq and is a predicted model, not a curated record. NCBI's taxonomy places the organism in Eukaryota, Viridiplantae, Streptophyta, Magnoliopsida, Lamiales, Lamiaceae. The transcript is spliced from 4 exons.